Molecule: long non-coding RNA, 920 nt
Organism: Herpailurus yagouaroundi (jaguarundi)
Lineage: Eukaryota; Metazoa; Chordata; Mammalia; Carnivora; Felidae
Exons: 2
Source: RefSeq, a predicted model, not a curated record
CCCCUCCCCCAUUGUAGUAGCCCCUCCCCAAUUGUUACAGCCCCUUUCCUGCUCUAACGACUCCUCCCCCUAUGGUUAUGGCUCCUCCUCUGCUACAACAGCCCCUCUUCUGUUGUCAUAGUCCCCACCUCUGUUGUAACAGCCCCUCUCUUAUUGCAAUGGCCUCCCCACCCCCGCAGUCAUCUUCAAAUCAAGCGUCUCCUUCCCUAGCCCUGACUUACUCUCCAUCUGACACAGGAGUCAGUCCCAGGCACAGGGCAACAGUGCCUCCUUCUCCAUGGGACGCUGCCUCGAGCCUCCCUGGACUUCCCUGCGGGGAUUUUCUAGAGUCAGAGCUGAGCCCCUACUCUCCUAAAAUCCACAGGGUGUCCCGUGAGCCCCUCACCCCCUGAACAUGGUGGCCUGGGGGGUCUCUUCACUUGGCGGGGGAGUCCCCACACUCCACUACGUGCUGGCUGCCCGUGCCCGUCCGCUCAGCCGCCUGGGGUGGUGCAUGACUGCAGGGCUCAACGGAGGCAGAUUGUGCCACGGAGGUGCUCCAGCAGCAUGAGGCAGGUUCCUGGAAAGCUGGGCCGCGUGGGAGUGGACGGCCAAGACCCUGGCCGAGCGCCGGGCCUGGCGGGCGCUCAGCAAAUGCCACUGGAGCCUGAGAGACCCUGAUGGGGACACCGCCAUCCCCAGUGAGCCGUGAGGUGCUGAGGCAAGCACGCGGCUCUCAGCCAAUUUCCAGAAGAACGCGCAUUCCUCCUAGAACAUCCACUUAAAAUUACAUUAAAAAAUUAACAAGCUGGUCUUGGAGCGGAGGAAUGGGUUUCGGCACAGAAGGAGAGAAAAAUCGGAAAAAAACGGGUUCUUCCAGCCCAAUUUCCCUCAUAAUUGGGUGUCUUUUGAGCUGGUUAAUUAAACAGCAUUUUCCCCGA